AUGGUCUGCCGCCCCACCAGCUAUGGGGGUUUGGGUGUUCUUAACACCGACAAAUUUGCUCGUGCUUUGAGGCUCAGAUGGCUUUGGUUUGAAUGGAAAGAGCCGUCCAAGCUCUGGGUUGGCCUGGGCAACCCUUGCACCGAGGAGGACCGUGAUUUUUUCUACGCCUCCACUUCCAUCAUCGUGGGCAAUGGGGCUAGAACGCCUUUUUGGGACUCCCCCUGGCUGCUUGGCCGCAAGCCGAAGGACAUUGCACCUCUCGUCUUUGAGGCCUCGAGGAGAAAGAACUGGAAGGUGCGAGAGGCUAUUACACAGAAUGCUUGGAUGCUUACGAUCAGACGAGACAUCACCAUCACUGGCCAGCAUGUGCAGGAAUUUUUCACCCUCUGGAUGCUCAUCCAUGACAUACACCUCGACAUCCACUCUGAGGAUGACAUCAUUUGGAAGCACUCUUCGGAUGGCUCAUAUUCGGCGUCCAUCGCAUACAAGGCACAAUUUCUCGGUUUGACGCUUUCUCCCAUGGACUCCAUGGUCUGGAAAAUGUGGGCGCCCCCAAAGGUCAAAUUCUUCUCUUGGCUGGCCUUACAAGAUCGGAUUUGGACCGCCGACAGGCUAAAGCGACGUGGCUGGGACAAUUGCGGUCUUUGCUCGCUCUGUAAGCAGGUGCAGGAGCCGGGUGUCCACCUAUUCGCCAAAUGCCGCUUCACCUUGAGGCUUUGGCUGAUGCUCAUUGACAAGUAUGGGCUCGCGCAUCUGGACCCUUCUGACUGGCACCUUGAGGACUCCCUCCUCUCUUGGUGGGACAAGCGCACCAAUUCGAGCAUUCCGGAUCGUCGAUCCUUGGCCUCCCUUACCAUGCUCGUAUCCUGGACAAUUUGGAACGAAAGGAACGCUAGAGUCUUCCGCCACAAAGAGACGCCACCACCAAUCCUUCUCAAGCUUAUUAUAGAUGAGGCCAACCUAUGGGUUACUGCAGGGGCUAAACAAUUAGGGAUAAACAAUUAG
RNAcentral lists this ribosomal RNA (1005 nucleotides) under Triticum aestivum (bread wheat). RNAcentral's name for it is "partial small subunit ribosomal RNA". The record is from RNAcentral. Lineage: Eukaryota; Viridiplantae; Streptophyta; Magnoliopsida; Poales; Poaceae.